RNAcentral lists this ribosomal RNA (284 nucleotides) under Bacteroides sp. RNAcentral describes it as "partial 16S ribosomal RNA". It matches the Rfam family "Bacterial small subunit ribosomal RNA", at positions 1 to 274 of the family's 1533-position model. Lineage: Bacteria; Pseudomonadati; Bacteroidota; Bacteroidia; Bacteroidales; Bacteroidaceae. The record is from RNAcentral.
AACAGCGGAGAGUUUGAUCCUGGCUCAGGAUGAACGCUAGCGGCAGGCUUAACACAUGCAAGUCGAGCGGCAGCGGGGGAGGAGCUUGCUCCUCCCGCCGGCGAGCGGCGCACGGGUGAGUAACACGUAUGCAACCUGCCCUUGUCAGGGGGACAACCCGCCGAAAGGCGGGCUAAUCCCGCGUAAAUCUCCCGGGGGCAUCCCUGGGGGAAGAAAGGCGCGAGCCGGACAAGGAUGGGCAUGCGGCGCAUUAGGCAGUUGGCGGGGUAACGGCCCACCAAACC